RNAcentral lists this ribosomal RNA (1916 nucleotides) under Patescibacteria group bacterium. RNAcentral describes it as "bacterial SSU rRNA". It matches the Rfam family "Bacterial small subunit ribosomal RNA", at positions 160 to 1197 of the family's 1533-position model. The record is from RNAcentral.
GGGGUAAUUCCCGAUGUUGUCGAAAGACCAAACUCGCAAGAGGCUUUGAGAUCGGCCUAGGUCCGAUCAGCUAGUUGGUAGGGUAAUGGCCUACCAAGGCUACGACCGGUAGGGGAGGUGAGAGCCUGACCCCCAACGACGGAACUGAGACACGGUCCGUACUCCUACGGGAGGCAGCAGUCGAGAAUAUUCCACAAUGGGCGAAAGCCUGAUGGAGCGACGCCGCGUGCAGGAUGAAGGCCUUCGGGUUGUAAACUGCGGUAGUAAAAUAAGAACGCAAGUGACUGUUUUACGGAAAGAGGUUGGUAACUACGUGCCAGCACCCGCGGUAAUACGUAGACCUCGAGCGUUAUCCGGAUUUAUUGGGCGUAAAGCGCGUGUAGGCGGUCUUGCGCGUCAUCUGUUAAAGCCCACGGCCUAACCGUGGAAGUGCAGGCGAUACGGCAGGACUAGAGGAGGUUAGAGGUGCAUAGAACGCACGGUGUAGGGGUGAAAUCCGUUGAUAUCGUGCGGAAUACCAAAGGCGAAGGCAUUGCACUGGGACCUUCCUGACGCUGAGACGCGAAAGCGUGGGGAGCAAAAAGGAUUCGUUGUUUUGCGCUUACUCGUGAACAAAUCAUAAUGAAAAAAUUCACGCGGUCCGCAACGAAUGUGCUUUUGAAAGCAGUUUAAGAUUGUUGGCUGCUUUCAAAAGCACAUUCGUUGCGGACCGAUAAAGAGAAUUUUUUCACGGUGAUUUGUUCACGAGCGGCAAAACCCCUCAUGGGUUGAGGGAAGACAGAGUCCCAAAAGUGAGAAGCGAGGGAUGAGGAGUGAGGGGUGAGAAUUUUCACGCCCCCCAUUUCACAACCCCUACCUCCCAUUUUUGUAAACUUGGCUAUAUGCUGGAAAACCUGCGAAUGCCGAAGUACCCGAAAGGGUGACAAUCUUCGGACGAUGCAGAUAAUCAGCAGGAAACUUAUGGAUAUCGAACAAUGGGGAGUGUAAUGCCAGAAUUCGAAACGUCUGGAGGCGAGACCGGAAACAUUAAGCGGUAUCUUGCUAAAGGAUAUUUGAAGAGAGAAAUUUCUUCUACGGAUUGCAUUGGCACAGCAAAGUUGCACUAUUCCAUUAGGGAGCGGAGAUUCGUCUCUGCUCCCACCCAUUAUUCGAUAGCUGUAAGGAUCCUCAGAGACUACAUGCCGAGCACCGUCGAAGACGGCGGAAUGCCUAAUAUCUAAUUACUAAUUUCUAACGAAUGCCUAAUGUCAAAUUCCCAAUUCGACAUUCCAGCAUUGGACAUUCGUUAGAAAUUAGAAAUUAGAAAUUAGAAAUUUCGCGCGCUUCGCGUGGUGAUAAUAUAGUCCGAACUGCAUGGCGACAUGCAGAGCUGGCCAGAAAUGAGUCAGCCCGGUGGCAGUUUUGAAAUUUGUAAUUUGGAUAUUGGUCAUUCAUUAGAAAUUAGACCAAUUAGAAAUUAGAAAUUUCAAUUCUGUUGCUGUGCAACAGAAUUGUAGAUACCCUUGUAGUCCACGCCCUAAACGAUGCCUGCUUGGUGUUUCGAGUAUCGACCCUCGGAGCGCCGGAGCUAACGCGUUAAGCAGGCCGCCUGGGAAGUACGGCCGCAAGGCUAAAACUCAAAGGAAUAGACGGGGACUCGCACAAGCGGUGGAACAUGUGGUUUAAUUCGAUAGCAAACGAGGAACCUUACCAGGGCUUGAAAUGUGUGCUGACGGGUGGCGGAAACGUUGCCCUUCUCACAAGGACAGUACACGCAGGUGCUGCAUGGUUGUCGUCAGCUCGUGUCUUGAGAUGUUCCCUUAAGUGGGGAAACGAGCGCAACCCCUAUUGCGCGUUACAAGUGUCGCGCGAAACUGCCCCCGCUUUUGUGCGCGAGGCGGAGGGAGGUGAAGCGGAAUUUGAAGGCCGUCUUCGAA